UACGGGGGGGGCAAGCGUUGUUCGGAAUUACUGGGCGUAAAGGGCUCGUAGGUGGCCAACUAAGUCAGACGUGAAAUCCCUCAGCUUAACUGGGGAACUGCGUCUGAUACUGGAUGGCUUGAGUUUGGGAGAGGGAUGCGGAAUUCCAGGUGUAGCGGUGAAAUGCGUAGAUAUCCGGAGGAACACCGAAGGCGAAGGCAGUGUCCUGGGGAGUACCUGACGCUCAGGUGCGAAAGCCAGGGGAGCGAACCGG
This 253-nucleotide ribosomal RNA is filed under the name uncultured bacterium. RNAcentral's name for it is "partial 16S ribosomal RNA". It matches the Rfam family "Bacterial small subunit ribosomal RNA", at positions 524 to 776 of the family's 1533-position model. The record is from RNAcentral.